This 62-nucleotide transfer RNA is filed under the name Paraahimia luodianensis. Its description in RNAcentral is "tRNA-Cys". It matches the Rfam family "tRNA". Rfam says of the family: Transfer RNA (tRNA) molecules are approximately 80 nucleotides in length. Their secondary structure includes four short double-helical elements and three loops (D, anti-codon, and T loops). The record is from RNAcentral. Lineage: Eukaryota; Metazoa; Arthropoda; Insecta; Hemiptera; Cicadellidae.
GGUAUUAUAGUUUAAUAAAAACGUUAGAUUGCAAAUCUGAAGAUGAUUAAUUUCUAAGACUU